This 684-nucleotide ribosomal RNA is filed under the name Microbacterium testaceum. RNAcentral describes it as "bacterial SSU rRNA". It matches the Rfam family "Bacterial small subunit ribosomal RNA", at positions 52 to 749 of the family's 1533-position model. The record is from RNAcentral. Lineage: Bacteria; Bacillati; Actinomycetota; Actinomycetes; Micrococcales; Microbacteriaceae.
CACAUGCAAGUCGAACGGUGAAGCCAAGCUUGCUUGGUGGAUCAGUGGCGAACGGGUGAGUAACACGUGAGCAACCUGCCCUGGACUCUGGGAUAAGCGCUGGAAACGGCGUCUAAUACUGGAUAUGAGACGUGAUCGCAUGGUCGUGUUUGGAAAGAUUUUUCGGUCUGGGAUGGGCUCGCGGCCUAUCAGCUUGUUGGUGAGGUAAUGGCUCACCAAGGCGUCGACGGGUAGCCGGCCUGAGAGGGUGACCGGCCACACUGGGACUGAGACACGGCCCAGACUCCUACGGGAGGCAGCAGUGGGGAAUAUUGCACAAUGGGCGAAAGCCUGAUGCAGCAACGCCGCGUGAGGGAUGACGGCCUUCGGGUUGUAAACCUCUUUUAGCAGGGAAGAAGCGAAAGUGACGGUACCUGCAGAAAAAGCGCCGGCUAACUACGUGCCAGCAGCCGCGGUAAUACGUAGGGCGCAAGCGUUAUCCGGAAUUAUUGGGCGUAAAGAGCUCGUAGGCGGUUUGUCGCGUCUGCUGUGAAAUCCCGAGGCUCAACCUCGGGCCUGCAGUGGGUACGGGCAGACUAGAGUGCGGUAGGGGAGAUUGGAAUUCCUGGUGUAGCGGUGGAAUGCGCAGAUAUCAGGAGGAACACCGAUGGCGAAGGCAGAUCUCUGGGCCGUAACUGACGCUGA